GUCUUUUGCCACACCACCUGAACGCGCCCGAUCUCGUCUGAUCUCGGAAGCUAAGCAGGGUUGGGCCUGGUUAGUAUUUGGAUGGGAGACCGCCUGGGAAUACCGGGUGCUGUAGGCU
RNAcentral lists this ribosomal RNA (118 nucleotides) under Aotus nancymaae (Ma's night monkey). Lineage: Eukaryota; Metazoa; Chordata; Mammalia; Primates; Aotidae. The record is from RNAcentral.